This 881-nucleotide ribosomal RNA is filed under the name Kosakonia sacchari. RNAcentral describes it as "bacterial SSU rRNA". It matches the Rfam family "Bacterial small subunit ribosomal RNA", at positions 56 to 928 of the family's 1533-position model. Lineage: Bacteria; Pseudomonadati; Pseudomonadota; Gammaproteobacteria; Enterobacterales; Enterobacteriaceae. The record is from RNAcentral.
UGCAAGUCGAACGGUAGCACAGAGAGCUUGCUCUCGGGUGACGAGUGGCGGACGGGUGAGUAAUGUCUGGGAAACUGCCUGAUGGAGGGGGAUAACUACUGGAAACGGUAGCUAAUACCGCAUAACGUCGCAAGACCAAAGAGGGGGACCUUCGGGCCUCUUGCCAUCAGAUGUGCCCAGAUGGGAUUAGCUAGUAGGUGGGGUAACGGCUCACCUAGGCGACGAUCCCUAGCUGGUCUGAGAGGAUGACCAGCCACACUGGAACUGAGACACGGUCCAGACUCCUACGGGAGGCAGCAGUGGGGAAUAUUACACAAUGGGCGCAAGCCUGAUGCAGCCAUGCCGCGUGUAUGAAGAAGGCCUUCGGGUUGUAAAGUACUUUCAGCGGGGAGGAAGGCGAUACGGUUAAUAACCGUGUUGAUUGACGUUACCCGCAGAAGAAGCACCGGCUAACUCCGUGCCAGCAGCUGCGGUAAUACGGAGGGUGCAAGCGUUAAUCGGAAUUACUGGGCGUAAAGCGCACGCAGGCGGUCUGUCAAGUCGGAUGUGAAAUCCCCGGGCUCAACCUGGGAACUGCAUCCGAAACUGGCAGGCUUGAGUCUCGUAGAGGGAGGUAGAAUUCCAGGUGUAGCGGUGAAAUGCGUAGAGAUCUGGAGGAAUACCGGUGGCGAAGGCGGCCUCCUGGACGAAGACUGACGCUCAGGUGCGAAAGCGUGGGGAGCAAACAGGAUUAGAUACCCUGGUAGUCCACGCCGUAAACGAUGUCUAUUUGGAGGUUGUGCCCUUGAGGCGUGGCUUCCGGAGCUAACGCGUUAAAUAGACCGCCUGGGGAGUACGGCCGCAAGGUUAAAACUCAAAUGAAUUGACGGGGGCCCGCACAA